Molecule: ribosomal RNA, 482 nt
Filed under: uncultured bacterium
Lineage: Bacteria
Description: partial 16S ribosomal RNA
Rfam family: Bacterial small subunit ribosomal RNA
Source: RNAcentral
AUUGAACGCUGGCGGCAUGCUUUACACAUGCAAGUCGAACGGCAGCGCGGGGCAACCUGGCGGCGAGUGGCGCACGGGGGAGUAAUAUAUCGGAACGUACCCAGAAGUGGGGGAUAACGUAGCGAAAGUUACGCUAAUACCGCAUACGAUCUACGGAUGAAAGUAGGGGACCGCAAGGCCUUAUGCUCUUGGAGCGGCCGAUAUCUGAUUAGCUAGUUGGUGAGGUAAAGGCUCACCAAGGCGACGAUCAGUAGCUGGUCUGAGAGGACGACCAGCCACACUGGAACUGAGACACGGUCCAGACUCCUACGGGAGGCAGCAGUGGGGAAUUUUGGACAAUGGGCGCAAGCCUGAUCCAGCAAUGCCGCGUGAGUGAAGAAGGCCUUCGGGUUGUAAAGCUCUUUUGUCAGGGAAGAAACGGUAGAGGCUAAUAUCCUGUGCUAAUGACGGUACCUGAAGAAUAAGCACCGGCUAACUACGUG